GAUGAAGAACGUAGCGAAAUGCGAUAAGUAAUGCGAAUUGCAGAAUUCAGUGAAUCAUCGAAUCUUUGAACGCACAUUGCGCCCCUUGGUAUUCCGAGGGGCAUGCCUGUUCGAGCGUCAUUAUAACCCCUCAAGCUCAGCUUGGUGUUGGGGCCUGCCGCACGGGCAGCCCUUAAAAUCAGUGGCGGUGCCAUCUGGCUCUAAGCGUAGUAAUUCUUCUCGCUAUAGAGUCACGGUGGAUGCUUGCCAUUAACCCCCAAUUUUCAAUGGUUGACCUCGGAUCAGGUAGGGAUACCCGCUGAACUUAAGCAUAACAAUAAGCGGAGGA
This 328-nucleotide unclassified non-coding RNA is filed under the name soil metagenome. Its description in RNAcentral is "partial contains 5.8S ribosomal RNA, internal transcribed spacer 2, and large subunit ribosomal RNA". The stretch from base 1 to 120 matches the Rfam family "5.8S ribosomal RNA", at positions 35 to 154 of the family's 154-position model. The record is from RNAcentral.